GAUGAAGAACGCAGCGAAAUGCGAUACGUAAUGUGAAUUGCAGAAUUCAGUGAAUCAUCGAAUCUUUGAACGCAUAUUGCGCUCUCUGGUAUUCCGGAGAGCAUGCUUGUUUGAGUAUCAGUAAACACCUCAACUUCCAUAUAUUUUUUGAAAUGGGAGUUGGACUUGAGUGAUCCCAACGCUUUUCCUCACCGAAAAGUGGCGGGUUACUUGAAAUGCAGGUGCAGCUGGACUUUUCUCUGAGCUAUAAGCAUAUCUAUUUAGUCUGCCUAAAAAACAGAUUAUUACCUUUGCUGCAGCUAACAUAAAGGAGAUUAGUUCUUGUGCUGACUGAUGCAGGAUUCACAAAGACAGCUUCGGCCGACUUUGUAAACUCGAUCUCAAAUCAAGUAAGACUACCCGCUGAACUUAAGCAUAUCAAUAAGCGGAGGA
RNAcentral lists this unclassified non-coding RNA (432 nucleotides) under soil metagenome. RNAcentral's name for it is "partial contains 5.8S ribosomal RNA, internal transcribed spacer 2, and large subunit ribosomal RNA". The stretch from base 1 to 120 matches the Rfam family "5.8S ribosomal RNA", at positions 35 to 154 of the family's 154-position model. The record is from RNAcentral.